RNAcentral lists this ribosomal RNA (401 nucleotides) under Potamon ruttneri. RNAcentral describes it as "partial small subunit ribosomal RNA". Lineage: Eukaryota; Metazoa; Arthropoda; Malacostraca; Decapoda; Potamidae. The record is from RNAcentral.
GAAACUAGGAUUAGAUACCCUAUUAUAUUAAAGUUAAAUUUAUAAAUAUUGAAUUACUAAUAGGUAUUUCUUGAAAUUUAAAGAAUUUGGCGGUAAUUUAGUCUUGUUAGAGGAACUUGUUUUUUAAUCGAUACUCCGCGUUAUAUCUUACUUAUUUUAAAAGGUUUGUAUACCAUCAUUAUUAGAUAAUUUUAAGAGAAAAAAUUAUUAAAAUUAAAUAUGUUAAAAAAAUUAGAUCAAGGUGCAGCUAAUAAAUAAGUUAAAAUGAGUUACAAUAAAAUUUAUUUAUACGGAAUAAUUUAAAAAAUUAAAUUAUAAAGGUGGAUUUAAUUGUAAUAUAAGUUCAAUAAGCUUGUAGGAUACUAGCUCUAAAUUAUGUACACAUCGCCGGUCACUCUCAU